CAGUAGCCACGGGAAUACGAAGGGUGCAAGCGUUAAUCGGAAUGACUGGGCGUAAAGGGCGCGUAGGCGGCGAUCAAAGUCAGGCGUGAAAUUCCUGGGCUCAACCUGGGGGCUGCGCUUGAUACUUGGUUGCUUGAGUGGGGAAGAGGGUCGUGGAAUUCCCAGUGUAGAGGUGAAAUUCGUAGAUAUUGGGAAGAACACCGGUGGCGAAGGCGGCGACCUGGUCCUUGACUGACGCUGAGGCGCGAAAGCGUGGGGAGCAAACAGGAUUAGAUACCCCAGUAGUCCCUGUCUCUUAUAC
Molecule: ribosomal RNA, 301 nt
Filed under: uncultured bacterium
Lineage: Bacteria
Description: partial 16S ribosomal RNA
Rfam family: Bacterial small subunit ribosomal RNA
Source: RNAcentral